AUUGAACGCUGGCGGCAUGCCUUACGCAUGCAAGUCGAACGGUAACAGGGAGCUUGCUCCGCUGACGAGUGGCGAGCGGGUGAGUAAUGUAUCGGAACGUACCUUUUAGUGGGGGAUAACGUAGCGAAAGUUACGCUAAUACCGCAUAUUCUCUGAGGAGGAAAGCAGGGGACCUUCGGGCCUUGCGCUAAUAGAGCGGCUGAUAUCAGAUUAGCUAGUUGGUGAGGUAAAGGCUCACCAAGGCGACGAUCUGUAGCGGGUCUGAGAGGAUGAUCCGCCACACUGGAACUGAGACACGGUCCAGACUCCUACGGGAGGCAGCAGUGGGGAAUUUUGGACAAUGGGGGCAACCCUGAUCCAGCCAUGCCGCGUGAGUGAAGAAGGCCUUCGGGUUGUAAAGCUCUUUCGGCCGGGAAAAAAUCGCAUGGGUUAAUACCCUGUGUGGAUGAUGGUACCGGAAUAAGAAGCACCGGCUAACUACGUGCCAGCAGCCGCCGUAA
Molecule: ribosomal RNA, 500 nt
Filed under: uncultured bacterium
Lineage: Bacteria
Description: partial 16S ribosomal RNA
Rfam family: Bacterial small subunit ribosomal RNA
Source: RNAcentral